AGUGGGAUAGCUGGGUCAAAUGGUGGUUCCAUUCCAAGUUUUUUGAGGAAUCUCCAUACUGCUUUCCAGAUUGAUUCCACCAAUUUGCAGUCCCACCAGUAAU
RNAcentral lists this microRNA precursor (103 nucleotides) under Marmota monax (woodchuck). The record is from RNAcentral. Lineage: Eukaryota; Metazoa; Chordata; Mammalia; Rodentia; Sciuridae.